AACGAACGCUGGCGGCAUGCCUAACACAUGCAAGUCGAACGAGACCUUCGGGUCUAGUGGCGCACGGGUGCGUAACGCGUGGGAAUCUGCCCUUGGGUUCGGAAUAACUCGCCGAAAGGCGUGCUAAUACCGGAUGAUGUCGUAAGACCAAAGAUUUAUCGCCCAGGGAGGAGCCCGCGUAAGAUUAGGUAGUUGGUGAGGUAAAGGCUCACCAAGCGGACGAUCUUUGGCUUGUCUGAGAGGAUGAUCAGCCAAACUGGGACUGAGACGCGGCACAGACACCAACAGGAGACAGUAGUGGGGAAUAUAGGACAAUGGGGGAAAGCCUGAACCAGCAAUGCAGCGUGAGUUAUGAAAGCAUUAGGGUUGUAAAGCUUUUUUACCCAGGAUGAUAAUGACAGUACCCGGAGAAUAAGCUCCGGCUAACUCCGUGCCAGCAGCCGCAGUAA
RNAcentral lists this ribosomal RNA (449 nucleotides) under uncultured bacterium. Its description in RNAcentral is "partial 16S ribosomal RNA". It matches the Rfam family "Bacterial small subunit ribosomal RNA", at positions 29 to 523 of the family's 1533-position model. The record is from RNAcentral.